AACGAACGCUGGCGGCAUGCCUAACACAUGCAAGUCGAACGAGACCUUCGGGUCUUGCUGCGCACGGCGGCGUAACGCGUGGGAACCUGCCCUUAGGUUCGGAAUAACUCCCCGAAAGGUGUGCUAAGACCGGUGAAUCUCUUCCGACCAAUGAUUUAUGGCUUUUGGCUGGGCCCGCGUUGGUUUGGGUGGUUGGUAGGGUAAAAGCCUCACAAGGCGACGAUCCAUAGCUGGUCUGAGAGGAUGAUCAGCGACACUGGGACUGAGACACGGCCCGGACUCCUGCGGGAGGCAGGAGUGUGGAAUAUUGGGCACUGGGCUGAAGCCUGAUCCAGCAGUGCCGCGUGAGUGCUGAAGGCCUUAAGGUUGUAAUGCUCUUUUACCCGGGCUGAUAGUGACGGUACCGGGAGAAUAAGCUCCGGCUAACUCCGUG
This 433-nucleotide ribosomal RNA is filed under the name uncultured bacterium. RNAcentral's name for it is "partial 16S ribosomal RNA". It matches the Rfam family "Bacterial small subunit ribosomal RNA", at positions 29 to 507 of the family's 1533-position model. The record is from RNAcentral.